This is a long non-coding RNA of Oncorhynchus tshawytscha (Chinook salmon), 1246 nucleotides long. The record is from Ensembl. NCBI's taxonomy places the organism in Eukaryota, Metazoa, Chordata, Actinopteri, Salmoniformes, Salmonidae.
CAGCCAAACAAUAUAACAUGAAUGGGAUCAGCCAGGGAAACAUAACAUGAAUGGGAUCAGCCAGGGAAACAAAAUAACAUGAAUGGGAUCAGCCAGGGAAACAUAUAACAUGAAUGGGAUCAGCCAGGGAAACAAUAUAACAUGAAUGGGACAUUAUAUUGUAGACUUGAGCGGGGGCGUCACUUUGUUGAACUUAUUUUAUUGAUUAUAUCGUGUCAGGGAAGCUUAAUCAAGUCCAGUAGUAUUUGAACCCAGCUCUGGUCACCAGAGCAUAAUAUUCCAUGAUGAGCACAUCAUGAUUGUUUUUCUAUGGCGUUAAAUUACAGCAACAACAAAAACAACAUUCUGGCACUAAUUUAACUCCACAUCUCCUCGUAUCCACCAUGGGUACUAACAGUGGGUGUGUUCAUAAUGAACACAGCUGAGCUGGAGAUGUUGAAACAUUAAACAUCAGGGCUGCUGAGUUAAUGUUAGUGAUCGUGUGUUACAGGAACACGCCUGUAAAGUGAUUAGGAAAACACAUAUCAGCGUACUACACGCUACCACACUCUUACACGCUACUACACGCUACCACACUCUACUACAUGCUACUACACGCUACCACACUCUACUACAUGCUACCACACUACUACACGCUACUACACUCUACUACACGCUACCACACUCUACUACACUCUACUACACUCUACUACACGCUACACCAGCACACUGAACAGUACGGGUCCAAAAUGGUACCCUAUUCAACUAGGGCCUCUGGUCUAAAGUAGUGCACUAUAUAGGGAAUAGGGUUCAGUCAACGGCUUCCAGUCAACACUUUUCUCAAAGGUAAAUGAAAACGCCCCAAAGUUGUGAUUGGUUAAAAUAUCUUAAAUAAAAUGUAUACCUCUAUUACUGUCAAUGUAGAUUGUUUCAAAGCUUCUCUGUGCUAUUUUAUUCAAACUCCACUUGCAAUGUCAUGUGACACCACUGAGGUGCACCAUGACUACCAUGCCAUGUGGCACCAUGACUACCAGGCCAUGUGACACCACUGAGGGGCACCAUGACUACCAUGCCAUGUGGCACCAUGACUACCAUAUCAUGUGACACCACUGAGGUGCACCAUGACUACCAUGCCAUGUGACACCACUGAUGGGCACCAUGACUACCAUGCCAUGUGGCACCAUGACUACCAUGCCAUGUGGCACCAUGACUACCAGGCCAUGUGACACCAAUGAGGGGCGAACUGGAGAACUGGCCGAGAAGGCAG